AGAUGUGAGGACACUUUGGCUGCAACAUCUGUCACCUCAUUGAUCGCCAGGGUUGAUUUGGCUGAGCUGGCAGGCUGGGUGGGUGCCCCCCGCCUUUAUUCCCCUCCAUGUGCAUCCCUCGGCAAACUGCAUGCUCGGUGGAAGAGGAUGACCUUCCCAGAUAGAGGAGGAUCACUCUUUGGUCAAGGGUAUAGGAGUAGCCAUGCUUCCCUGCUAGAACCUCCAGACAAGCCCUGAAGGUCAUUUGUAGGAGAACAUAGGGUAAUCAAGCGUCCAUGACUCCAGACACAUCCAAAUGAGGCGCUGCAUGUGGCAGUCUGCCUUUCCCU
Molecule: non-coding RNA, 329 nt
Organism: Equus caballus (horse)
Lineage: Eukaryota; Metazoa; Chordata; Mammalia; Perissodactyla; Equidae
Source: Rfam